Molecule: ribosomal RNA, 519 nt
Filed under: uncultured bacterium
Lineage: Bacteria
Description: bacterial SSU rRNA
Rfam family: Bacterial small subunit ribosomal RNA
Source: RNAcentral
GUACACGCAAAGAUGCAAUGGCAAGAGAGCAGAAAUUAAAACAAGGUCAAUCAAAAAGACAUUUGAUUGAUAGAAUACAAGACAGUAUAAAACUUUGUGAAUAAAAUUGAGUGCGGGAUAGUGGCGGACGGGUGAGUAACGCGUGAAUAAUCUGCCCCAUACAGGGGGAUAGCCUCGGGAAACCGGGAUUAAAACCGCAUAACACUUUAUCACCGCAUGGUGAUGAAGUCAAAUCGAUUAAGAGGUAUGGGAUGAGUUCGCGUCUGAUUAGCUAGUUGGCGGGGUAAAGGCCCACCAAGGCGACGAUCAGUAGCCGGCCUGAGAGGGUGACCGGCCACACUGGAACUGAGACACGGUCCAGACUCCUACGGGAGGCAGCAGUGGGGAAUAUUGCACAAUGGGGGAAACCCUGAUGCAGCGACGCCGCGUGAGUGAAGAAGGUCUUCGGAUCGUAAAACUCUGUCCUUGGUGACGAAGGAAGUGACGGUAACCAAGGAGGAAGCCCCGGCUAACUACGUG